Molecule: small nuclear RNA, 143 nt
Organism: Neogale vison (American mink)
Lineage: Eukaryota; Metazoa; Chordata; Mammalia; Carnivora; Mustelidae
Product: U4 spliceosomal RNA
Exons: 1
Source: RefSeq, a predicted model, not a curated record
AGCUUUGCGCAGUGGCAGUAUUGUAGCCAAUGAGGUUUAUCCAAGGUGCGAUUAUUGCUAAUUGAAAAAAUCCCCAUACAAUAAAGUUUGUAUUCUAGCUGAAAUAAUACUGGUGAUUAUCUUGUGAAGAGUGAAAAAAGAUA